Alosa alosa (allis shad) is the source of this 881-nucleotide long non-coding RNA. RefSeq lists it as uncharacterized. NCBI's taxonomy places the organism in Eukaryota, Metazoa, Chordata, Actinopteri, Clupeiformes, Clupeidae. The transcript has 3 exons. The record is from RefSeq and is a predicted model, not a curated record.
CCUUGAUGCUCUUAGAGGUCUCUGCAAGAACCUUAACGAUUUUUCAGUAUGAAAGGAGGUUCCUCAAAGAACCGAAUUUAAUCAAGGUUCCUGGAGGAUCUCCAGCUGAGAGAGAGUAAUUUUCUUGAAUUUAUCUUUUACAGGCCUACGUUGCUGUGUACUGAUUCAAAACAUAAAAAAAGUUAGUUAGUUGAAAAACUAGCCGAGCAUAGGCUAGGCCUAGGCUACUGCCUAUGCCAAAAUAGCAGGCAAGUUAGGCAACAUGGUCGGAUAACUCGGCACACAGGUGUUGCUCGAGGCGAUGACGCGCGUGUGGAAUCUUCUUUAAAAAUGGCAACAGAAUUUGACAGUUGAGUCAACGUAACUACAGGAGCACAGACUUUUCAUCUUCCCCUGUUUCCAACUCUCCUGAAAUGAAAGCUAGCUGCUAACGUUAAUGGAGGAAGUCCUGACGUUCAUACUGCUGCACACAGAUCAUACAGGUCCUAUUUGAUUAAAUUUCUAUGUAUGGUAUCCAGUGUCAUGACAUUUGUGCUGCUGCUCUAAGCACCCUUUCCUCCGGGAUCGCACAGGACCAGGAUAUGCAUGUAAGUAGAUUAUUAAAGUCAUAAACAUACAGGUAGGCCUACUGGCUGUAGUGAGGGUCCUUUUUUAGCGCACCUAACAAAUAGGGAUAAUGGGAUGGGAUAUUCCUGUCAGGUGUAUUCAGGCUGUUGUAGUCUGCUCACUUACAGAUGCAAUUGAAUCAUGUAUGCCUACUAUGACACUCUUCCCUUCUGUUGGUAUGUUGCUUAGGUGGCAGCCGGUUAGCGCUUCGGACUUGCAACCGUAGGGUUGCCGGUUCAAACCCCGACCAGUAGGAACGGCUGAAGUGCCCUUGA